This 301-nucleotide long non-coding RNA is filed under the name Rattus norvegicus (Norway rat). RNAcentral describes it as "long non-coding RNA NONRATT016845". Lineage: Eukaryota; Metazoa; Chordata; Mammalia; Rodentia; Muridae. The record is from RNAcentral.
CAGUCUCACCUCCACCAGAAGCCUUCUCCAGGGGGAUAUCAAGCCCAGUUGCUGGCCCGGCACAGCCCCCUCCGUGGCCCCAGCCUGCUCCAUGGUCGCAACCAGCCUUCUAUGAUUCUUCUGAGCAAAUAGCUUCCCGCGAUGAGAGGAUCGCAGUGCCGGCCAAAAGAACAGGAAUACUGCAGGAAGCCAAAAGACGAGGCACAACAAAACCCAUGUUUACUUUCAAAGAAACCAAAGUGAGCCCCAACCCCGAACUCCUGUCCCUUCUUCAAAAUGCAGAAGGCAAGCGAGGCACUGG